UACGGGGGGGGCAAGCGUUGUCCGGAAUUACUGGGCGUAAAGGGCGUGUAGGCGGAUAGGUCAGUCGAUGGUGAAAUCCUACAGCUUAACUGUAGAAUUGCCUUUGAUACUGCUUAUCUUGAGUUCGGGAGAGGGAAGCGGAAUUCCUGGUGUAGCGGUGAAAUGCGUAGAUAUCAGGAAGAACACCGGUAGCGAAGGCAGCUUCCUGGCCCGAUACUGACGCUGAAGCGCGAAAGCGUGGGGAGCAAACAGGAUUAGAUACCCCCGUA
This 269-nucleotide ribosomal RNA is filed under the name uncultured prokaryote. RNAcentral describes it as "partial 16S ribosomal RNA". It matches the Rfam family "Bacterial small subunit ribosomal RNA", at positions 524 to 792 of the family's 1533-position model. The record is from RNAcentral.